Molecule: ribosomal RNA, 384 nt
Filed under: Bacteroidales bacterium
Lineage: Bacteria; Pseudomonadati; Bacteroidota; Bacteroidia; Bacteroidales
Description: partial 23S ribosomal RNA
Rfam family: Bacterial large subunit ribosomal RNA
Source: RNAcentral
GAUGUCGGCUCGUCACAUCCUGGGGCUGGAGAAGGUCCCAAGGGUUCGGCUGUUCGCCGAUUAAAGUGGCACGCGAGCUGGGUUCAGAACGUCGCGAGACAGUUCGGUCCCUAUCUGUUAUGGGCGUUAGAAAUUUGCGAGGACCUGACUCUAGUACGAGAGGACCGAGUCGGACAUACCUCUAGUGUACCUGUUGUGGCGCCAGCCGCACCGCAGGGUAGCUACGUAUGGAUGAGAUAAGUGCUGAAAGCAUCUAAGUACGAAACUCACCUCAAGAUGAGAUUUCUUUUAAGGGUCGUUAAAGACGAUGACGUUGAUAGGCUACAGGUGUAAAGGCAGUAAUGUCAAAGCCGAGUAGUACUAAUUACCCGUAGAAUUUCUUUA